AUGACCACCACUGCCUGUGCACGCCUCUGGAUUCGUGCAAGUCUGAUGAUGUUUUUGUACAACUACGGCGACGCCAAACAUCUACGGAUCAAGUCCAACAACGACUAUGUACAACUACCGUCGCAAGAACCAAGACCGGCAAGUCCGAAGACCCCAAGUACCACGACUACCCUCGAGGACAUUGGUUCCGUCAAGUUCGACUACAACGUGUGUACAACUACCGUUGCCGUGAUUUCGACAAGACGUCAUGUACCUCUACUUCCACUACGACACGAGUACAACUACUUCCACUACGACCGCUGCGAGAACGUCUACUUCCUCUACAUCGCAUCGAACCCGAACCGCUCCGAAACGCACACUUUGAAGCUUCGGUUUCGUUCUGGAGUUGUGAGGAUUCGUUUGACUACGUUCAUUUGUCUUCUUCAUGGACUCGUUCUUCUUCCUUGCAGGAUUUCAGUUGCAGGUGCCGAUGACACCAGUGCUGGCGACACAACCGAGCUCAGAUGGGAGCUCAACGAAGAUCUUGGUCGUUGCUAUGUUUCGUUUCAUGUUGAUCAGUAG
Molecule: ribosomal RNA, 561 nt
Filed under: Triticum aestivum (bread wheat)
Lineage: Eukaryota; Viridiplantae; Streptophyta; Magnoliopsida; Poales; Poaceae
Description: partial small subunit ribosomal RNA
Source: RNAcentral